Molecule: small RNA, 148 nt
Filed under: Pongo abelii (Sumatran orangutan)
Lineage: Eukaryota; Metazoa; Chordata; Mammalia; Primates; Hominidae
Description: Metazoan signal recognition particle RNA (ENSPPYG00000032877.1)
Source: Rfam by way of RNAcentral
GCCGGGUGUGGUAGUGCACGCCUGUAGUCCCAGUGACUCGGGAGGCUGAGGUGGGAGAAUCACUUGAACCCGGGAGGUGGAGGUUGCAGUGAGACAAGAUUGCACCACUGCAUUCCAGCCUGGGUCACAGAGUGAGAACCUGUCUCUU